Molecule: ribosomal RNA, 938 nt
Filed under: Paraburkholderia sediminicola
Lineage: Bacteria; Pseudomonadati; Pseudomonadota; Betaproteobacteria; Burkholderiales; Burkholderiaceae
Description: bacterial SSU rRNA
Rfam family: Bacterial small subunit ribosomal RNA
Source: RNAcentral
UGCAGUCGAACGGCAGCACGGGGGCAACCCUGGUGGCGAGUGGCGAACGGGUGAGUAAUACAUCGGAACGUGUCCUGUAGUGGGGGAUAGCCCGGCGAAAGCCGGAUUAAUACCGCAUACGCUCUACGGAGGAAAGGGGGGGAUCUCAGGACCUCCCGCUACAGGGGCGGCCGAUGGCAGAUUAGCUAGUUGGUGGGGUAAAGGCCUACCAAGGCGACGAUCUGUAGCUGGUCUGAGAGGACGACCAGCCACACUGGGACUGAGACACGGCCCAGACUCCUACGGGAGGCAGCAGUGGGGAAUUUUGGACAAUGGGCGAAAGCCUGAUCCAGCAAUGCCGCGUGUGUGAAGAAGGCCUUCGGGUUGUAAAGCACUUUUGUCCGGAAAGAAAACCUCCGCCCUAAUAUGGUGGGGGGAUGACGGUACCGGAAGAAUAAGCACCGGCUAACUACGUGCCAGCAGCCGCGGUAAUACGUAGGGUGCAAGCGUUAAUCGGAAUUACUGGGCGUAAAGCGUGCGCAGGCGGUCCGCUAAGACAGAUGUGAAAUCCCCGGGCUUAACCUGGGAACUGCAUUUGUGACUGGCGGGCUAGAGUAUGGCAGAGGGGGGUAGAAUUCCACGUGUAGCAGUGAAAUGCGUAGAGAUGUGGAGGAAUACCGAUGGCGAAGGCAGCCCCCUGGGCCAAUACUGACGCUCAUGCACGAAAGCGUGGGGAGCAAACAGGAUUAGAUACCCUGGUAGUCCACGCCCUAAACGAUGUCAACUAGUUGUUGGGGAUUCAUUUCCUUAGUAACGUAGCUAACGCGUGAAGUUGACCGCCUGGGGAGUACGGUCGCAAGAUUAAAACUCAAAGGAAUUGACGGGGACCCGCACAAGCGGUGGAUGAUGUGGAUUAAUUCGAUGCAACGCGAAAAACCUUACCUACCCUUGACAUGUAU